CCUAAAACCUGAAACACUCCGUGUAACUCAUUAGUUCCUCAACCAUGUUGUCAUCAUUCAUCAAAACCCAUACAGGGGUAAGGUUUCUCUUUCAGGAGAGGAUUAAAGUUUUUUUUAGAAUAACCUAAAAUAUAUAGGGGGUUUCUUUAGAAAAUAUUACAACUUGUUGACUAUUCUGCAAAAUGAUUUUCUUUUUUGACGAAACGCAGCGGCCUGCUUUCCAUCAAUUAAGACCAAAGAGAAACAUAGACCGAGAGGUCAACAACAGAAAAAGAAAAGAAAAGAAAUAUGUACAGAUCACAGCCAGAACAGCGGCA
Molecule: long non-coding RNA, 317 nt
Filed under: Brachypodium distachyon (stiff brome)
Lineage: Eukaryota; Viridiplantae; Streptophyta; Magnoliopsida; Poales; Poaceae
Description: long non-coding RNA (BDIS_LNC001670)
Source: RNAcentral